AAAUUCCAAAUGAAUCGAAAUGAUCACAAGCAAAUAGAUAAUUAAACAGGCAAAAAAAAUCAAUCAGAGUGAGAGGAAAAGAGACAGAGAGCAGAUGCUUAUCGGGGCUUGACUUAGUUAACAACUAAACACAGACAAGGGUACCCAGCAGACUUCAUGAAGUUUCAUGGAGAUCUCAGCUUUUCGUCCUGGUCCUGAUAUGGCCGCUGAGGAAAUAUCCCAAUGGAUUCGCACUGGUGAAGUCCUUGUUGGACUUGGAGGUGGAUACAAUUUUUAUCAUCACAAAGCAGGGUGAGAACAACAAGCAGUACUUAUCAUGAUGACGAUGAUGAUGAUCAUCAUCAUCAUCACCAUCCUCAUGUGCCAUGCCCUAUCCAGUAUCGGUGCUGCAGAAGCAAUUACUGGCCUACAAUCCUGAAUGGGUUACUACUCCAACUCAGGAACUCGAGAUCUCAGCUUUUCGUCCUGGUCCUGAUAUGGCUGCUGAGGAAAUAUCCCAAUGGAUUCGCACUGGAAAGAAGGCUGGAAUGUGAGCCACAGUUUUCCAUAUGGCAUGUUGACCGACACGGCAUAUUUUGGAUUGUAGAGAACAGUGGGGAGGGUGAAGUGCACAAGCUUGCCAUUGGAAGGGAAUUCUGCCCACAAAAAAAACAAACAACGAGGCUCAAAGAUAGUUUAUUGAGCAAUCACUAUGAAGGUCAGUGAGAAUUUAUUCUGUUUAUUCCAUCAGUCUGAUAACCUUGAUGUGCAAACAAACAACAUUCUAGUUCAAAGAGCCAG
RNAcentral lists this long non-coding RNA (780 nucleotides) under Eptatretus burgeri (inshore hagfish). RNAcentral's name for it is "lncRNA (ENSEBUG00000017303.1)". The record is from RNAcentral. Lineage: Eukaryota; Metazoa; Chordata; Myxini; Myxiniformes; Myxinidae.